This 479-nucleotide long non-coding RNA is filed under the name Trifolium pratense (red clover). RNAcentral describes it as "long non-coding RNA (TPRA_LNC005708)". The record is from RNAcentral. Lineage: Eukaryota; Viridiplantae; Streptophyta; Magnoliopsida; Fabales; Fabaceae.
GGAAAGAGAAAAGACUCUUCAUUGAUGCUAUAAAUCAAAACAGACUUGCAACAAUAGUAAAUAUAAAUUACACUUGGAUAAAACAAACUAAUACAAUGGAAGAGAAAAUUCAAGGUAACGAAAAUUUUUACAUUCAUCACUAAAUUUAUUGGUGGAGGGACUACAAAGGAAUAAACAAGAAACGCAUGCACUAUGAAACUCUAGCGCAAACACAAACACCAGACACUGAUACAUAGACAUUGGUAAUAAUUUAAGAAAAUGAAAGUAACUAAUUUAACUACAUGUGUCAGUGUCGGACACACCAUCUAUCUGAAAUGUCAAUGCUACAGUGGACUUGCUUAUAUAACAUCAUGAAAAAAAUCCAAAUCUACUCUUCACCAAGGAAGAAAACAGUUGGUUUCUUAGGGUCCAUGAUCUCAACAGUCCCUUCUAUCAUCUUAGCCACCUUCCCCAUUGUUGGCCUUGACUCAGGCCUAUCC